RNAcentral lists this ribosomal RNA (919 nucleotides) under uncultured Bacteroidota bacterium. Its description in RNAcentral is "bacterial SSU rRNA". It matches the Rfam family "Bacterial small subunit ribosomal RNA", at positions 9 to 924 of the family's 1533-position model. The record is from RNAcentral. Lineage: Bacteria; Pseudomonadati; Bacteroidota.
GAGUUUGAUCCUGGCUCAGGAUGAACGCUAGCGGCAGGCUUAACACAUGCAAGUCGAACGGUAACAGAAAAAGCUUGCUUUUUGCUGACGAGUGGCGAACGGGUGCGUAACGCGUAUGCAACCUACCUUCUUCUAAGGAAUAGCCCAGAGAAAUUUGGAUUAAUACCUUAUGAUAAUAUUUAUYCGCAUGUUUAAAUAUUUAAAACUCCGGUGGAAGAAGAUGGGCAUGCGUAACAUUAGUUUGUUGGUGAGGUAAUGGCUCACCAAGACUACGAUGUUUAGGGGGUCUGAGAGGAUGAUCCCCCACACUGGUACUGAGACACGGACCAGACUCCUACGGGAGGCAGCAGUGAGGAAUAUUGGUCAAUGGACGAAAGUCUGAACCAGCCAUGCCGCGUGAAGGAUGACGGCCCUACGGGUUGUAAACUUCUUUUGUAUAGGAAGAAACCCCUCUACGUGUAGAGGGUUGACGGUACUAUUCGAAUAAGCACCGGCUAACUCCGUGCCAGCAGCCGCGGUAAUACGGAGGGUGCGAGCGUUAUCCGGAAUUAUUGGGUUUAAAGGGUGCGUAGGCGGAAAUUUAAGUCAGUGGUGAAAGCCUGCAGCUUAACUGUAGAAUUGCCAUUGAUACUGGAUUUCUUGAAUCUAAUAGAMGUAGGCGGAAUAUGACAUGUAGCGGUGAAAUGCUUAGAUAUGUCAUAGAACACCGAUAGCGAAGGCAGCUUACUAUGUUAGUAUUGACGCUAAUGCACGAAAGCGUGGGGAGCGAACAGGAUUAGAUACCCUGGUAGUCCACGCCGUAAACGAUGAUUACUCGCUAUUGGCGAUACACUGUCAGUGGCUAAGCGAAAGUGAUAAGUAAUCCACCUGGGGAGUACGAUCGCAAGGUUGAAACUCAAAGGAAUUGACGGGGGGCCGC